GAGACAGCAGCAGCCGCGGUAAUACAGAGGGUGCGAGCGUUAAUCGGAUUUACUGGGCGUAAAGCGUGCGUAGGCGGCUUCUUAAGUCGGAUGUAAAAUCCCUGAGCUUAACUUAGGAAUUGCAUUCGAUACUGGGAAGCUAGAGUAUGGGAGAGGAUGGUAGAAUUCCAGGUGUAGCGGUGAAAUGCGUAGAGAUCUGGAGGAAUACCGAUGGCGAAGGCAGCCAUCUGGCCUAAUACUGACGCUGAGGUACGAAAGCAUGGGGAGCAAACAGGAUUAGAUACCCCAGUAGUCCCUGUCUCUUAUAC
This 308-nucleotide ribosomal RNA is filed under the name uncultured bacterium. RNAcentral's name for it is "partial 16S ribosomal RNA". It matches the Rfam family "Bacterial small subunit ribosomal RNA", at positions 505 to 807 of the family's 1533-position model. The record is from RNAcentral.